GAUGAACGCUGGCGGCGUGCCUAAUACAUGCAAGUCGAGCGAACAGACGAGGAGCUUGCUCCUCUGACGUUAGCGGCGGACGGGUGAGUAACACGUGGAUAACCUACCUAUAAGACUGGGAUAACUUCGGGAAACCGGAGCUAAUACCGGAUCAUAUAUUGAACCGCAUGGUUCAAUAGUGAAAGACGGUUUUGCUGUCACUUAUAGAUGGUUCCGCGUCGCAUUAGCUAGUUGGUAAGGUAACGGCUUACCAAGGCGACGAUGCGUAGCCGACCUGAGAGGGUGAUCAGCCACACUGGAACUGAGACACGGCCCAGACUCCUACGGGAGGCAGCAGUAGGGAAUCUUCCGCAAUGGGCGAAAGCCUGACGGAGCAACGCCGCGUGAGUGAUGAAGGUCUUCGGAUCGUAAAACUCUGUUAUUAGGGAAGAACAAAUGUGUAAGUAACUAUGCACGUCUUGACGGUACCUAAUCAGAAAGCAACGGCUAACUACGUG
This 497-nucleotide ribosomal RNA is filed under the name uncultured bacterium. RNAcentral describes it as "partial 16S ribosomal RNA". It matches the Rfam family "Bacterial small subunit ribosomal RNA", at positions 28 to 507 of the family's 1533-position model. The record is from RNAcentral.